Mycena latifolia is the source of this 89-nucleotide non-coding RNA. The record is from the annotation of a GenBank genome assembly. NCBI's taxonomy places the organism in Eukaryota, Fungi, Basidiomycota, Agaricomycetes, Agaricales, Mycenaceae.
AGCAGUAUAGUGUAUUGUGCACACGGGGGUCUAUCAUGUCCUUCGAAUAGUAGAACUCCGAGGUCCUUGUUCGAAUCAAGGUACUGCUC